AGAGUUUGAUCCUGGCUCAGGAUGAACGCUGGCGGCGUGCCUAAUACAUGCAAGUCGAGCGAACGGACGAGAAGCUUGCUUCUCUGAUGUUAGCGGCGGACGGGUGAGUAACACGUGGAUAACCUACCUAUAAGACUGGGAUAACUUCGGGAAACCGGAGCUAAUACCGGAUAAUAUUUUGAACCGCAUGGUUCAAAAGUGAAAGACGGUAUUGCUGUCACUUAUAGAUGGAUCCGCGCUGCAUUAGCUAGUUGGUAAGGUAACGGCUUACCAAGGCAACGAUGCAUAGCCGACCUGAGAGGGUGAUCGGCCACACUGGAACUGAGACACGGUCCAGACUCCUACGGGAGGCAGCAGUAGGGAAUCUUCCGCAAUGGGCGAAAGCCUGACGGAGCAACGCCGCGUGAGUGAUGAAGGUCUUCGGAUCGUAAAACUCUGUUAUUAGGGAAGAACAUAUGUGUAAGUAACUGUGCACAUCUUGACGGUACCUAAUCAGAAAGCCACGGCUAACUACGUGCCAGCAGCCGCGGUAAUACGUAGGUGGCAAGCGUUAUCCGGAAUUAUUGGGCGUAAAGCGCGCGUAGGCGGUUUUUUAAGUCUGAUGUGAAAGCCCACGGCUCAACCGUGGAGGGUCAUUGGAAACUGGAAAACUUGAGUGCAGAAGAGGAAAGUGGAAUUCCAUGUGUAGCGGUGAAAUGCGCAGAGAUAUGGAGGAACACCAGUGGCGAAGGCGACUUUCUGGUCUGUAACUGACGCUGAUGUGCGAAAGCGUGGGGAUCAAACAGGAUUAGAUACCCUGGUAGUCCACGCCGUAAACGAUGAGUGCUAAGUGUUAGGGGGUUUCCGCCCCUUAGUGCUGCAGCUAACGCAUUAAGCACUCCGCCUGGGGAGUACGACCGCAAGGUUGAAACUCAAAGGAAUUGACGGGGACCCGCACAAGCGGUGGAGCAUGUGGUUUAAUUCGAAGCAACGCGAAGAACCUUACCAAAUCUUGACAUCCUUUGACAACUCUAGAGAUAGAGCCUUCCCCUUCGGGGGACAAAGUGACAGGUGGUGCAUGGUUGUCGUCAGCUCGUGUCGUGAGAUGUUGGGUUAAGUCCCGCAACGAGCGCAACCCUUAAGCUUAGUUGCCAUCAUUAAGUUGGGCACUCUAAGUUGACUGCCGGUGACAAACCGGAGGAAGGUGGGGAUGACGUCAAAUCAUCAUGCCCCUUAUGAUUUGGGCUACACACGUGCUACAAUGGACAAUACAAAGGGCAGCGAAACCGCGAGGUCAAGCAAAUCCCAUAAAGUUGUUCUCAGUUCGGAUUGUAGUCUGCAACUCGACUACAUGAAGCUGGAAUCGCUAGUAAUCGUAGAUCAGCAUGCUACGGUGAAUACGUUCCCGGGUCUUGUACACACCGCCCGUCACACCACGAGAGUUUGUAACACCCGAAGCCGGUGGAGUAACCUUUUAGGAGCUAGCCGUCGAAGGUGGGACAAAUGAUUGGGGUGAAGUCGUAACAAGGUAGCCGUAUCGGAAGGUGCGGCUGGAUCACCU
Molecule: ribosomal RNA, 1540 nt
Filed under: Staphylococcus aureus subsp. aureus CIGC128
Lineage: Bacteria; Bacillati; Bacillota; Bacilli; Caryophanales; Staphylococcaceae
Description: 16S ribosomal RNA
Rfam family: Bacterial small subunit ribosomal RNA
Source: RNAcentral